UGUGGCCCCACCGGAGUGGCCCAGACUUUCCAGUGGGUGCCAUAGAGGAGGAGGGCCUAGCUGAGUGGGAUCCCACCUCCCUGGGCUGUGGCCCCACACC
Vicugna pacos (alpaca) is the source of this 100-nucleotide small nucleolar RNA. RefSeq annotates it as small nucleolar RNA SNORA17. The record is from RefSeq and is a predicted model, not a curated record. NCBI's taxonomy places the organism in Eukaryota, Metazoa, Chordata, Mammalia, Artiodactyla, Camelidae.